GUGAAUUCAGGACAGCAGCCACCUCCCUUUGCCUGGGACCCGCGCGCUCUCCCCGCAGGGCACAGGCUCUUGGAGCAGCCGCCCAGCUCCCUGCAACAUGGCCUCAGCGCGGGAGCUGCAGCGGGACCCCUCCGCGGGUGUGCCCCACCCAGGGCCACCCUGCGCUCCUCCUCCCUGCCUGGUCUCCUUUCCGUCUUCAGGGUUAAACUGGAAUUGAGAGGAGAACAAGUUGUCUGGGAACCUGUCCACCGCCACCCCCAGAGUAAUGACCCCCAGAGUGGCCCUUCCUCCCAGAGUGCUGACCCCCAGAGUGGCCCUUCCGGUGGGCUAUCUUGGGGGUUCCUGGACUGGAUUAAGGAGGAGUCCAUUUCCCAAGGCUGCAGCAUCACAGCCGGACGCUGGAAACGUGAGGAACUGGGCCAAGAAAAGGCUCGAUGCAGAGUCAGCCUCAGGAAUGUCAGGUGGGCGAAAUCGCCAAGGGUGGUGCACAGGCCAUUCUGUUUCUGUCUCAGGGACACCAAUGCCUUGGGGCUCAGAAGAACCAGGCAGGUGGCAUUGGCAGAGCUGAAUGCCAUCAGCGGUUCACGGCCUUCCCAGGUCUACUUCCCCCAGGGAGCAAGCUCAGCCCCUUCCUCCUGCCCAGGACUCCCCAGGUGUCUCACCUCCUGGAAUCCACCCCGGGGCAGCCUCUAUCUGUGCCUGGGCCUGAGGUGCAGGCCCAGGGUGGCCCUCCAGGAGUGUGAGGAGAGGCGGGGUCUCCCCGACCUGCCCAGGUUCCUGGUGGGUGCCAUGAAGUUUGGAGGUGACACCUGGCUAUACCCCAGGCCUGUAGCAGGGAAACACUCCAUUCAGGGCAUCUGUGAAGGGCCUGCUGCUGUCCAGUGGGGAGGAAGGGUCGGCCACACUCCCGGCCUCUGUACAGGGCUUUUCUGGGACGCACCUAGGGGUGGCUUUCUGCAGGAGCGUCACUUGCAUGUUUUAUUUCACUGUGGGCCAAUAAAACGAUCAAGGAAAUGCUGUAGUCGUGCUACUGUGUGCUUGCCUUGA
RNAcentral lists this long non-coding RNA (1047 nucleotides) under Urocitellus parryii (Arctic ground squirrel). RNAcentral's name for it is "lncRNA (ENSUPAG00010010357.1)". The record is from RNAcentral. Lineage: Eukaryota; Metazoa; Chordata; Mammalia; Rodentia; Sciuridae.